This 492-nucleotide ribosomal RNA is filed under the name uncultured bacterium. RNAcentral describes it as "partial 16S ribosomal RNA". It matches the Rfam family "Bacterial small subunit ribosomal RNA", at positions 29 to 507 of the family's 1533-position model. The record is from RNAcentral.
AGUGAACGCUGGCGGUAGGCCUAACACAUGCAAGUCGAACGGACGCACAGUAAGCGCUUGCCCUUACGGGUGGCGAGUGGCGGACGGGUGAGGAAUACAUCGGAAUCUACUUUUUCGUGGGGGAUAACGUAGGGAAACUUACGCUAAUACCGCAUACGACCUACGGGAGAAAGCAGGGGAUCUUCGGACCUUGCGCGAUUGAAUGAGCCGAUGUCGGAUUAGCUAGUUGGCAGGGUAAAGGCCCACCAAGGCGACGCUCCGUAGCUGGUCUGAGAGGAUGAUCAGCCACACUGGAACUGAGACACGGUCCAGACUCCUACGGGAGGCAGCAGUGGGGAAUAUUGGACAAUGGGCGCAAGCCUGAUCCAGCCACACCGCGUGAGUGAAGAAGGCCUUCGGGUUGUAAAGCCCUUUUGUUGGGAAAGAAAAGCAGCAGGUUAAUACCCCGCUGUUCUGACGGUACCCAAAGAAUAAGCACCGGCUAACUUCGUG